AUGGGAAAGGGGUACAGCGACAGCGAUGCAAGAUGGCAGCCACUACGGGCUCGGACAAUUUCUGAAAACCGAAUAUACAGCCUUAAAAUAGAAUGUGGACCUAAAUACCCAGAAGCACCCCCCUUUGUAAGAUUUGUAACAAAAAUUAAUAUGAAUGGAGUUAAUAGUUCUAAUGGAGUGGUGGACCCAAGAGCCAUAUCAGUGCUAGCAAAAUGGCAGAAUUCAUAUAGCAUCAAAGUUGUCCUGCAAGAGCUCCGGCGCCUAAUGAUGUCUAAAGAAAACAUGAAACUCCCUCAGCCGCCUGAAGGACAGUGUUACAGCAAUUAAUCAAAAAGAGAAACCACAGGCCCUCCCCCCUCCCCCCCAUUCGAUU
Callorhinus ursinus (northern fur seal) is the source of this 373-nucleotide non-coding RNA. The record is from RefSeq and is a predicted model, not a curated record. NCBI's taxonomy places the organism in Eukaryota, Metazoa, Chordata, Mammalia, Carnivora, Otariidae.